Long non-coding RNA from Etheostoma spectabile (orangethroat darter), 179 nucleotides. RefSeq lists it as uncharacterized. The transcript is spliced from 3 exons. Lineage: Eukaryota; Metazoa; Chordata; Actinopteri; Perciformes; Percidae. The record is from RefSeq and is a predicted model, not a curated record.
GUUUUUAAAUGUUUUAUUUAAGUGUGUCAAUACUGGGUAAAAGUUCAAACUAAAUCAAAGAUAUGAUGUAUGUUCCUUUAAUAUUUGACUGGCAUUCUUAUCAGUCAAUGAGCCUGCGUGAUCGUCGCGGCGCUCUCAGUCAAGCCUUCUCUCUCUGGACAGAGGGCUGGCAACGUGCC